CCACAUCGAAAAACAUAGAGAGCGAGAGUUUUGAGUUAGCCAAUAAAUAUGGAUGCAGCUCCCUAAAAAUCCUUAACUCGUCCUGUUAGGGGUGAAAGGCGACUCGUCAAUGAUCGUUUAGAGACGGCGGGUCGUGCCAACACCUUGUAUCAUCGAACACACCUCCUUUAGGCGAGCGAGUACAGCCCUACUUUAGGUUGUCUCGCCCGUCAAUUUUUGGAAGCCUCGCCCCCGGUGGGGCUCAUUAAGUCUCUCAAUUUUCAAGAUACUCAAUUUUUUAUAUAAUCCCAUGCUUAUUGAACUAUUUAUUUCUUGGUUGCUGCUAAAAUAUUUAUAAUUAAAAUUUUUGAGGUGAAUAUAUUAUUUUUUAAUUUUAAUAUUUUUAGCAUUUUAACCCAAAAUGAAGUUUUUCAAAAGUAAUAUUCACGACAUUUUUAUCAUUUUUAAAUGAUUUAAUAAAAAGUAUUAAUAUGAAAAGAAAAAAUAUUAAAUAGUUAUUUUUAUAAAAUUAAUAAAAAUAUAACAAAUAACUUAAUUGCACUUAAUCUCAAAAAAUAACUUAAUUCCCAUGUUGUUUUUGAACAUAUUAUACCUUUGAACAUUUGAAAAUCCUGUUAGCGUGGAAUUGAAACAGCAAUAGCAAUGACAUACAUCAUCUGUGAGAACAUUAUGCACCCACAAGUUCUAGUGAACUUCCACUGGAUUUUCUAUUUAAUUUGUAGCCAAUUUACUGAUAAUUUGCUAACAUUGAAUAUGCAAUAUAUCCUUCUUUUUUUUUUUUUUUUUUUUUUUUUCUUUUUUUUUUAAUUUUCUAAAAUGGUAAAAUUACAAUCCUCUUGGUUUUCCUGCUAAAAUAUUUAUAAUUAAAAUUUUUGAGGUGAAUAUAUUAUUUUUUAAUUUUAAUAUUUUUAGCAUUUUAACCCAAAAUGAAGUUUUUCAAAAGUAAUAUUCACG
Molecule: long non-coding RNA, 954 nt
Filed under: Jatropha curcas
Lineage: Eukaryota; Viridiplantae; Streptophyta; Magnoliopsida; Malpighiales; Euphorbiaceae
Description: long non-coding RNA (JCUR_LNC002545)
Source: RNAcentral